GACGAACGCUGGCGGCGUGCUUAACACAUGCAAGUCGAACGCUGAAGCUCAGCUUGCUGGGUGGAUGAGUGGCGAACGGGUGAGUAACACGUGAGUAACCUGCCCUCUUCUUUGGGAUAACGCCCGGAAACGGGUGCUAAUACUGGAUAUUCACUGAUUCUCGCAUGGGGGUUGGUGGAAAGGUUUUUUCUGGUGGGGGAUGGGCUCGCGGCCUAUCAGCUUGUUGGUGGGGUGAUGGCCUACCAAGGCUUUGACGGGUAGCCGGCCUGAGAGGGUGACCGGUAACAUUGGGACUGAGAUACGGCCCAGACUCCUACGGGAGGCAGCAGUGGGGAAUAUUGCACAAUGGGCGAAAGCCUGAUGCAGCGACGCCGCGUGAGGGAUGGAGGCCUUCGGGUUGUAAACCUCUUUCGCUCAUGGUCAAGCCGCAGCUUUGGGUUGUGGUGAGGGUAGUGGGUAAAGAAGCGCCGGCUAACUACGUG
Molecule: ribosomal RNA, 482 nt
Filed under: uncultured bacterium
Lineage: Bacteria
Description: partial 16S ribosomal RNA
Rfam family: Bacterial small subunit ribosomal RNA
Source: RNAcentral